GCUGCGGUGGCGUAAUGGUAGCCGCAAUCGCCUCAAAAGCGAUCGGGAGCAAUCCCGUGUGGGUUCGAGUCCCACCCGCAGCA
This 83-nucleotide transfer RNA is filed under the name uncultured Thermomicrobiales bacterium. Its description in RNAcentral is "tRNA-Leu-CAA". It matches the Rfam family "tRNA". From Rfam's summary of the family: Transfer RNA (tRNA) molecules are approximately 80 nucleotides in length. Their secondary structure includes four short double-helical elements and three loops (D, anti-codon, and T loops). The record is from RNAcentral. Lineage: Bacteria; Pseudomonadati; Thermomicrobiota; Thermomicrobia; Thermomicrobiales.